Molecule: long non-coding RNA, 90 nt
Filed under: Mustela putorius furo (domestic ferret)
Lineage: Eukaryota; Metazoa; Chordata; Mammalia; Carnivora; Mustelidae
Description: lncRNA (ENSMPUG00000026462.1)
Source: RNAcentral
AUGAGAAGCUUUGUCAAUAUUGAUAUUUAUGUGAAGAAAUCUAUUUAUUUGAGAUAUACAAUGAGUCAGUGUGACUUCACUACGAAAUGA